This 623-nucleotide small RNA is filed under the name Rattus norvegicus (Norway rat). RNAcentral's name for it is "uncharacterized LOC102550601". Lineage: Eukaryota; Metazoa; Chordata; Mammalia; Rodentia; Muridae. The record is from RNAcentral.
AGGUGAAGGGUAUACGAGCCAGGGGACAAGGCAGUGAGUCACAGGAGAGAAGGGGUCCUACACAGCGCUCAUUCCCAGGCAAGCUUCACAAGAGUCGGGGGAGCUGCAGGCUCCUGGAGCCAGGGAAACUGCUCGUCAGCGUGGCCCUCAUCCCCUCACACAGAGCAUGGAAGUAGGAGGAGCGGCUGCUGGUGUCUGGUCUUCUGGGGCUGUAGUGGAUCCUGCUUUCUAACGUGGAGUCUGUGCCAGUUCUGGGUAAUCGGUUUCAGAAACACACAGCAGACUUGACUCAUGCUUCCUGUCUCCUCCAUUCACAAUACCGCUUAUCUCUCAAUGGCUUCACAGAGGCAAACAUGGUACUCGUGUCUCCCCACUCCUGACCAUCCUGCCACAUCCUGUUCUUGAGGAAAUGAUUAAAUUGGUUGAGUAGCUGAAAUGUUCAACUUUUACUUUUCUUACCUUGGCGGCAGAGGGAAGGCCCUUGAAGGUAUUUCAGGGAUGUGAGGAGACUACUGGAACACACAAUCCUGGAGAUGGUCUGGUAUUUGUCUUCAGUAAGUGGAUGUUGGGCUUUUCCUCACAUUCCUAGCCUGUAGAUCAGUCACAGCAAAAGAAUAGAGACC